AACCUACACAUGCAAGUCUCCGCAUCCCUGUGAGAACGCCCUCUAACCCCUCAAGGGACGAGGAGCUGGUAUCAGGAUCAAUUUUUUAGCCCAUAACACCUAGCUUAGCCACACCCACAAGGGAAUUCAGCAGUGAUCAACAUUGACCAUAAGCGAAAGCUUGAUUCAGUUAGAGUAAACAGAGCCGGCAAACCUGGUGCCAGCCGCCGCGGCUAAACCAUGGGGCCCAAACUGACCUCUUCCGGCGUAAAGCGUGAUUAAAGUAAUAAUAGACUGUAGUUAAAUUAGGGUUUAGCUGUCAUACGCUUUUCACCUAAGAAACACAAAAACGAAAGUUA
Molecule: ribosomal RNA, 338 nt
Filed under: Scinax rostratus (Caracas snouted treefrog)
Lineage: Eukaryota; Metazoa; Chordata; Amphibia; Anura; Hylidae
Description: partial 12S ribosomal RNA
Source: RNAcentral